RNAcentral lists this small RNA (65 nucleotides) under Homo sapiens (human). RNAcentral's name for it is "nc020 non-coding RNA". Lineage: Eukaryota; Metazoa; Chordata; Mammalia; Primates; Hominidae. The record is from RNAcentral.
UUUUGUCUGGAGAUUCUGAUCAAGUUGACACAGACUAAAAGUCUUUUCCAAGGUCAUCCUAGAGG